This 185-nucleotide ribosomal RNA is filed under the name Lasionycteris noctivagans (Silver-haired bat). Its description in RNAcentral is "partial 16S ribosomal RNA". Lineage: Eukaryota; Metazoa; Chordata; Mammalia; Chiroptera; Vespertilionidae. The record is from RNAcentral.
AGAAGCAAUAAUGUUAAUAUGAGUAACAAGAAAUGAUUCUCCAUGCACACGUGUAUAUCAGAACGAAUAAUUCACUGAUAGUUAACAGAAUGAAUAUAAACAACUAUUAAACUCUCAUUAUCCACUGUUAGUCCAACACAGGAGUGUAACUAAGGAAAGAUUAAAAGAAGUAAAAGGAACUCGGC